Brachypodium distachyon (stiff brome) is the source of this 136-nucleotide non-coding RNA. Lineage: Eukaryota; Viridiplantae; Streptophyta; Magnoliopsida; Poales; Poaceae. The record is from Rfam.
UUAGUACUCCCUCCGUCCAACAAAACAUGUCUCAAGUUUAUCAAAAUUUGGAUGUAUCUAGACAUGACUUAGUAUAUAGAUGUAUUCAAAUUUAUUUAAAGUUGAGACAUCUUUUGUUGGUCGGAGAGAGUAACAG